Parus major (Great Tit) is the source of this 1014-nucleotide long non-coding RNA. RefSeq lists it as uncharacterized. The transcript has 4 exons. The record is from RefSeq and is a predicted model, not a curated record. NCBI's taxonomy places the organism in Eukaryota, Metazoa, Chordata, Aves, Passeriformes, Paridae.
CGCGGGCCCGGGGGCGGGCUAGCAGCUGUGCGUGUGGGGUGGUCGUCACCUACGUCCCUUAGGGAGUGGGCUUUCGAGCCCAAAGUUCCCCAGAUCAAACUGUUAUGUAUUCGCGCUUGGAGUUCUUGCUGUGGUGUGCAGCCGAAAUGGAGCGGCGGUGUUGUGCCCGCUUUCUUAAGCAAUUACUUUGUCGGUAGGGUUGGAAGGGUGCGCUGGAGAUAGAAUUAGAGAAUCAUAGAAUCAUCGGUGUUCGAAGAGACCCUUACGAGCAUCAAGUCCAACCAUUACCCAGCACUGCCACUGUAACCCCUAAACCGCAUGAUUAAGCGCUGGAUCCAGACACCUCUUAAACACUUCGGGGAUGGUGGCUCCACCGCUUCCCUGGGCAGCCUAUUCCAAUGUCUGACCACUGUAACGGUGAAAAGGAUUUUUCUAAUAAUCCAGUUUGAAUCUCCCCUUUGACAAUCUCCAGGUCGACUUGUCCAAGCCCUCACUAAGGCAGAGUCACCGGGAGCCUUUGACACAGGAAAGUGUCCAGGCUAAUUGUGAUAAUGAUGAUGAUGACGUGUAUUCCUUCUGCUGAGAAAAGUUUGGUUGAUAAGGCAUUUCUCAUCCCAGCCUGUAAAGAAUCUGUGAAGCAGGGCCAUUGGACAUCUUAACAAGUGCCAUGGAGGCCCAUCACAUCCUCUGCGGUGUCUGAAGUUUGCAGACUUGUUCCCUCCGCAGCAAACAGGCAGAAAUCAAGCACCACAAAUGUCGGGGGAAGCAGAAGUCUUUUCCAGUGACACUGAAGGGUCUCUGACAUGCAGUAAAGUACUGCUGCGGAAAGCCAAAAGUGUCACUGCUUGGAAACCUAAAAAGGGACAAAAGUUUUGGUAUUCUGUGCAUUUUAUUAAUAACUGUAGGAGACAAACCUUGUCCCAGAAAGUUUACCAGAAAAUUUCUACGUCAUGAAAAAUAUGGCAAAAGACAGCAAGUGUCAUAGAGCCCCCAAAAAAUCGAGAAAAAUUUUGC